This 673-nucleotide long non-coding RNA is filed under the name Drosophila guanche. The record is from RNAcentral. Lineage: Eukaryota; Metazoa; Arthropoda; Insecta; Diptera; Drosophilidae.
GUAACGCUUUGAUGGCAAAUUAAUUCAAUUUUAUUUUCUAGAUACACCGAAAAAUAAAUUAAAAACGCUCCCAAAUUAAUGUCAAGCGAAAUGGGAUGAUGAGCGAACGCUGCGCGGGAAAGGAAAUUGCCAAGAUUAAGAUUAUCCUUCAGAAAUUAUUCCACACCCCAAGGCGCUUCUGGGCAGACAACAAACGGUGCUUGACGAAUGGAACUCGAGGCCUGGAGUAGUCGCUGAAAUUAAUGAGACAGCUCUCGUGGCAGGCUCCAUUUGAUAUGCGCACUUUUAUUUGAUUUGUCGUGAAAAAUAAACCGCACGCCGCUGCUCACUUUUCCCUCUCUCUCUUUUCUCCUCCCAAGCCUGUCGUGCACCUACACUUAUUGCAAUUUACUGACUGCGCACGUGACAAACGAGCCGCACGUUUCCUUCAUUGUACGCGACCAGCUCCAUAUCACACAUACGCAGCGUACGCGCAAAGAGAGACAGGGAAGAGCAAGAGCGAGUGUGCGGCUUGUUUUGUGGCAGUGCCAGGCCAGAGCUUAAUCAGAAGAAAUCACCCAUGUCUUAUUUCUUGCAGUGUAGUCGCAACAUUAAUUUUAGGGUCUCGGCAGAGACAAGCGCCGGUCGCUCGGUCAUAUUCCAAAUUGAUUUUAUCCUACGCAUUAAUUAAAAU